CUAAUUCCGUGCCAGCAGCCGCGGUAAUACGGAAGGUCCGGGCGUUAUCCGGAUUUAUUGGGUUUAAAGGGAGUGUAGGCGGUCUGUUAAGCGUGUUGUGAAAUUUAGGUGCUCAACAUUUAACUUGCAGCGCGAACUGUCAGACUUGAGUACACGCAGCGCAGGCGGAAUUCAUGGUGUAGCGGUGAAAUGCUUAGAUAUCAUGAGGAACUCCGAUCGCGAAGGCAGCCUGCGGGAGUGUUACUGACGCUUAAGCUCGAAGGUGCGGGUAUCGAACAGGAUUAGAUACCCUGGUAGUCCGCACAGUAAACGAUGGAUGCCCGCCGUUGGCGCCCUGCGCCUGCGGCCAAGCGAAAGCAUUAAGCAUCCCACCUGGGGAGUACGCCGGCAACGGUGAAACUCAAAGGAAUUGACGGGGGCCCGCACAAGCGGAGGAACAUGUGGUUUAAUUCGAUGAUACGCGAGGAACCUUACCCGGGCUUGAAUUGCAGUCGCUGCCCACAGAGACGUGGGCUUCCCUUCGGGGCGUCUGUGAAGGUGCUGCAUGGUUGUCGUCAGCUCGUGCCGUGAGGUGUCGGCUUAAGUGCCAUAACGAGCGCAACCCCCUUUCCCAGUUGCCAUCGGGUGAUGCCGGGCACUCUGGGGACACUGCCACCGCAAGGUGCGAGGAAGGUGGGGAUGACGUCAAAUCAGCACGGCCCUUACGUCCGGGGCUACACACGUGUUACAAUGGCCGGUACAGAGGGACGGUGUAAUGCAAGUUGCAUCCAAUCUUGAAAUCCGGUCCCAGUUCGGACUGGGGUCUGCAACCCGACCCCACGAAGCUGGAUUCGCUAGUAAUCGCGCAUCAGCCAUGGCGCGGUGAAUACGUUCCCGGGCCUUGUACACACCGCCCGUCAAGCCAUGAAAGCCGGGGGUGCCUGAAGUUCGUGACCGCGAGGAGCGACCUAGGGCAAGACCGGUG
This 964-nucleotide ribosomal RNA is filed under the name Prevotella nigrescens. RNAcentral's name for it is "bacterial SSU rRNA". It matches the Rfam family "Bacterial small subunit ribosomal RNA", at positions 497 to 1473 of the family's 1533-position model. Lineage: Bacteria; Pseudomonadati; Bacteroidota; Bacteroidia; Bacteroidales; Prevotellaceae. The record is from RNAcentral.